GAUUAAAUGGCUGAAUUAUAGGCAAUAGAUUGUAAAUUUAUGUAUGAAGAUUUGACUUCUUUAAUCA
This 67-nucleotide transfer RNA is filed under the name Tabanus chrysurus. RNAcentral describes it as "tRNA-Tyr". It matches the Rfam family "tRNA". From Rfam's summary of the family: Transfer RNA (tRNA) molecules are approximately 80 nucleotides in length. The record is from RNAcentral. Lineage: Eukaryota; Metazoa; Arthropoda; Insecta; Diptera; Tabanidae.